Molecule: unclassified non-coding RNA, 500 nt
Filed under: uncultured Glomus
Lineage: Eukaryota; Fungi; Glomeromycota; Glomeromycetes; Glomerales; Glomeraceae
Description: SSU rRNA
Rfam family: Eukaryotic small subunit ribosomal RNA
Source: RNAcentral
CCAAUAGCGUAUAUUAAAGUUGUUGCAGUUAAAAAGCUCGUAGUUGAAUUUCGGGACCAAUCUGCCGGUCGUGCCUCCGGUACGCACUGGUUUUAUUGGUUUCUCCCUUCUGACGAACCAUGAUGUCAUUAAUUUGGUGUCAUGGGGAAUCAGGACUGUUACUUUGAAAAAAUUAGAGUGUUUAUAGCAGGCGCACGCUUGAAUACAUUAGCAUGGAAUAAUGAAAUAGGACGUUUGACCCUAUUUUGUUGGUUUCUAGGAUCGACGUAAUGAUUAAUAGGGAUAGUUGGGGGCAUUAGUAUUCAAUUGUCAGAGGUGAAAUUCUUGGAUUUAUUGAAGACUAACUACUGCGAAAGCAUUUGCCAAGGAUGUUUUCAUUAAUCAAGAACGAAAGUUAGGGGAUCGAAGACGAUCAGAUACCGUCGUAGUCUUAACCAUAAACUAUGCCGACUAGGGAUCGGAUGAUGUUAAUUUUUUAAUGACUCAUUCGGCGCCUUACG